UCCGGUUUAACACCGGCAGUCUCCCUAGAGUCCCUUUUUGAGUUGGUAACUAAGGACAGGGGUUGCGCUCGUUAUCGGACUUAACCGGACAUCUUACGACACGAGCUGACGACAGCCAUGCAGCACCUAUCUCCACGUCCCCGAAGGGAAGACGACAUCUCUGCCGUGGUCGUGGGAUGUUAAGGGUAGGUAAGGUUCUGCGCGUUGCUUCGAAUUAAACCACAUACUCCACCGCUUGUGCGGGCCCCCGUCAAUUCCUUUGAGUUUUAGCCUUGCGACCGUACUCCCCAGGCGGGAUACUUAACGCGUUAGCUGUAGUACGCAGGAGGUUAACUUCCCGCACACUUAGUAUCCAUCGUUUACGGCGUGGACUAC
Molecule: unclassified non-coding RNA, 375 nt
Filed under: uncultured Oligoflexaceae bacterium
Lineage: Bacteria; Pseudomonadati; Bdellovibrionota; Oligoflexia; Oligoflexales; Oligoflexaceae
Description: contains 16S-23S intergenic spacer region
Source: RNAcentral